This 73-nucleotide transfer RNA is filed under the name Boleophthalmus pectinirostris (great blue-spotted mudskipper). RNAcentral describes it as "tRNA-Leu". It matches the Rfam family "tRNA". From Rfam's summary of the family: Transfer RNA (tRNA) molecules are approximately 80 nucleotides in length. Their secondary structure includes four short double-helical elements and three loops (D, anti-codon, and T loops). The record is from RNAcentral. Lineage: Eukaryota; Metazoa; Chordata; Actinopteri; Gobiiformes; Gobiidae. RNAcentral also lists the same sequence under 1 other name.
GCUUUCAAAGGAUAACAGCUCAUCCGUUGGUCUUAGGAGCCAAAAACUCUUGGUGCAAAUCCAAGUGAAAGCU